GACGUAGGGCGCGAGCGUUGUCCGGAUUUAUUGGGCGUAAAGAGCUCGUAGGCGGUUUGUCGCGUCGAAUGUGAAAACCCGGGGCUCAACCCCGGGCCUGCAUUCGAUACGGGCAGACUAGAGUUCGGUAGGGGAGACUGGAAUUCCUGGUGUAGCGGUGAAAUGCGCAGAUAUCAGGAGGAACACCGGUGGCGAAGGCGGUUCUCUGGGCAUUACCUGACGCUGAGGAGCGAAAGUGUGGGGAGCGAACAGG
This 253-nucleotide ribosomal RNA is filed under the name uncultured bacterium. RNAcentral's name for it is "partial 16S ribosomal RNA". It matches the Rfam family "Bacterial small subunit ribosomal RNA", at positions 524 to 776 of the family's 1533-position model. The record is from RNAcentral.